CCACAGCUUCGCAUCAUGGCGUGGCUCCAGCUCCUGCUUACGCUCUGCCUGGCCGCCGGCCUACAGGCGGCCCCCGAGCGACCGGAGGGUGGCUUCUCAUGCCCCCGCCCCCAGGGCCUCUUCGCGCACCCCUACGACUGUCACAAGUUCCUGCACUGCGACCAUGACCAUCCGUAUGUCAAGGACUGCCCGGCCGACCUGCACUUCAACCCCAAGAUCAUGGUGUGUGAUUGGCCGGAGCAGGCGGGCUGCCGUCCGGGCGCGCCCACCGACCCGCCCACGCCCGACGUGUCGCCUGAGCCCGGCAUGGAGUGCGACUGCGAGUGCUGCCUGAAGCCCAACGGCGACGACUGCACCACCUUCUACCUGUGCAAGGAUGGCAAGGCCUACCUGGAGACUUGCGCCACCGGCCUGGUGUUCAACCCCAACACCCAGAACUGUGAUCUGCCCAGCAACUACGACUGUGGUGGUCCCGAGCCGACGCCCAGUCCGUUUGAUUGUCCCACCGACGGACUGUUCCCCAAUCCGGCCGACUGCCACACCUUCUUCCACUGCUCCAAUGGAAUCUCGUACAAGAAGAACUGUCCCGCUAACCUCGACUUUGACGCGCGGACAAAGCGGUGCGAGUGGCCAAACCAGGCCGGCUGCCGGUACCCAGCCUCGACCACUAAGAAGCCUCCCGAACCCACUACGCGCUCCACCACUACAACCAAACGGCCGGACUUCGACUGUCCCACCGGAAACGGGCUCUUCCCCAAUCCGGAGGACUGUCAUACGUUCUUCCAUUGUUCCAAUGGAAUCCCGUACAAGAAGGACUGUCCAGCUAACCUCGACUUCGACGCCAAGACGAAACGGUGCGAGUGGCCAGACCAGGCCGGCUGCCGGUACCCAGCCUCGACCACUAAGAAGCCGCCCGAACCCACCACGCGCUCCACCACUACAACCAAACGGCCGGACUUCGACUGCCCCACCGCAGACGGGCUGUUCCCCAACCCGAAGGACUGCCAUACGUUCUUCCAGUGUUCGAACGGAAUUCCCUACCUAAUGGACUGUCCGGCCAACCUCGAAUUCAACCCGGUCCUCCUCGUCUGCGAUUGGCCAGAGCAUGCCGGCUGCUCGAAUAAGACCACACCCACUACGCCCGCAGUGUCCCCCACCACACCCCGCACGCCCGCUACCACUCCCAAACAUCCAGGCUUCGACUGCCCCACCAGCAAUGGGCUGUUCCCCAACCCGAAGGACUGUCACUCGUUCUACCACUGCUCGAACGGGCACCCUUACCUGAAGUACUGUCCCGCUAACCUUGAGUUCAACCCGGUGCUCCUGGUGUGCGACUGGCCCGAUCACGCUGGUUGCGGCGACCACCCGCAGCCCACGCCCGACUACCCGGUCACCACGCCGGUGCCCGACGACGACAUCGUCUGCCCGAACAAGAGCUGCGUGUGCAGGCUUCCGGAUAAGAAGGACUGCAGCGGCUUCUACCAGUGUCGGGACGGCAAGGCGUACCACAAAAGCUGUCCGACCGGCCUAGUCUUCAACCCCGACACGGAAGUGUGCGAUCUGCCCGCCAAUGUGGACUGCGGCGCCCCCACUACUGCCAAACCGCCGCCACCUACCACCACCCGCACACCUGCCACCACUCCCAAACAUCCAGGCUUCGACUGCCCCACCAGCAACGGGCUGUUCCCCAACCCGGAGGACUGUCACUCGUUCUACCACUGCUCGAACGGGCACCCUUACCUGAAGUACUGUCCCGCUAACCUUGAGUUCAACCCAGUGCUCCUGGUGUGCGACUGGCCCGAUCACGCUGGUUGCGGCGACCACCCGCAGCCCACGCCCGAUUACCCGGUCACCACGCCGGUGCCCGACGACGACAUCGUCUGCCCGAACAAGAGCUGCGUGUGCAGGCUGCCGGACAAGGACGACUGCAGCGGCUUCUAUCAGUGUCGUGACGGCAAGGCCUACCACAAAAGCUGUCCGACCGGCCUGGUCUUUAACCCCGACACGGAAGUGUGCGAUCUGCCCGCCAAUGUGGACUGCGGCGCCCACACUACUGCCAAACCGCCACCACCUACCACCACCGCCCGAGUCACCACUCCCACCCCGAAAACGACCACCACCCCUGCCACUACCACGCAAAAAACGACCACAGCCUCUACCACCACUACCCAGAAAACGACCACCACCCCUGCAAUUACUACACCUGCUACUACUACCAAGCAAACGACAACCGCCCCCACCACCACCACCACCACGGCAGCGCCCACUUCCCCGCCGCCACCGUCUCCGUGUACGUUCCCCUGCUCCAAGAGCGACGGUACCUACGCCAAUCCGCUGAACUGCGGCACCUACUUCCACUGCUCGGACGGCGAGGCCAGCAUCGAGUACUGUCCGGCCGGCACGCACUUCAACACGGGCACGAACGCGUGCGACGCGCCCGAGACCGCCGGCUGUUGCGACCUGUAACCCCCCUCCCCAUCCCGCCCCUCACCCGUCCCACGCCUCCCCGACGCACCGCACCGGACCACGACCACUCAUGGCUGCCGCGCUCAGCUCGGUAGCUUGUUUUUCCCCCACGGCAGACACCAAUCGUCACGUGUCGCCGCUGUCACUGCACACAUUGUAUAGUCACCUUCCUUGUAGUGUAAUCCGCACACAGCACCGCACAUACCUUUCACGCAUCCGCCGCCCGAUCAGCACCCGCCUCUCCCGCUCGAGACAUGCUGCAUGCUGACAAUGGCCGAUCGAAGUAGAGUACCUGAUCCCAAAGACUGCCACAAAUUCUACCAAUGCAAGAACGGCAAGGCCUACCCGGUGAGCUGUCCCACAGGCCUCGUCUU
This 2840-nucleotide unclassified non-coding RNA is filed under the name Pollicipes pollicipes. RNAcentral's name for it is "chitin-binding domain protein cbd-1-like, transcript variant X1". Lineage: Eukaryota; Metazoa; Arthropoda; Thecostraca; Pollicipedomorpha; Pollicipedidae. The record is from RNAcentral.